Molecule: long non-coding RNA, 874 nt
Filed under: Homo sapiens (human)
Lineage: Eukaryota; Metazoa; Chordata; Mammalia; Primates; Hominidae
Description: PCBP1 antisense RNA 1
Source: RNAcentral
GGGGAGGGGCGGCGAGGCGAGGCCUGCGGAGCGGAGGAAGACAAACAUAAAGAUGAAGUGCUUAAUUCAAGGUCACACAAUGUCGGGGAUGGACCUCCAGAUUUCCUUACUGGUGAGACGUGGUCUUGUAACACAGUGGUUAAGAAUGUGACUUUGGAGCCAGCCUGCUAGGGGCUGAAUUCUGACUCAGCCAUUUACUAACUGUGUGACCUUAGGUGGAGUCUCACUCUGUAGCCCAAGCUGGAGUGGCGUGAUCUCGACUCACUGCAACCUCCGCCUCCUGGGAUCAAGUGAUUCUCGUGCCUCAGCCUCCUGAGUAGCCGGGACUACAGGUCACAGAAUUUUCCACACUCCUUGACAGAGGUGCUUAACCCUUAUCCAUCAGCAUUCUCAGACAGCACCUCCGGUUAGGGACAGUAUCUGACCGUCCGACAUCCCUGCAGCCCCCAUGUGUCACACAGACUCAGCCUCAGGUAGAUGGUUUCCGUAGAUGGUGGCUUUCUUUGGACCCUUGACAUCAACCAGUUACUAUUUGACUCUUCUGCAGAACCCCAUGUUGACCCCUGCUUUGAGGUGGCAGAGUUAACACUACUCUUCGUUAUAAGCUCUCGUCUGGGGCAACUCAGAAGAACGGGACCAGAUGUGCAGAGGUAAUGAAUACCAGGGAAUCAGGAAACCACUGGAUCAGUUCUUUGAGCCACAGAACAACACUCAUCCCAGCAGCUGGGAAGCUAUCUGCAAAAGUCCAUCUGCAGAAAGGGCUUCCUGGUCUUGCGUGUGGCUGGGCCAUUUCUCUGGAUGCAGGUUUUUCAUUAUACAGUCUUCUCAAAGAACCACCUGCUCUCAACACCUUCUCGGUGACUCCAUUUCCCCU